Molecule: ribosomal RNA, 1200 nt
Filed under: Vibrio cholerae HC-81A1
Lineage: Bacteria; Pseudomonadati; Pseudomonadota; Gammaproteobacteria; Vibrionales; Vibrionaceae
Description: bacterial LSU rRNA
Rfam family: Bacterial large subunit ribosomal RNA
Source: RNAcentral
GUACGCUCUUGAUGGUGAAGUCCCUCGCGGAUGGAGCUGACGAGAGUCGCAGAUACCAGGUGGCUGCAACUGUUUAUUAAAAACACAGCACUGUGCAAAAUCGCAAGAUGACGUAUACGGUGUGACGCCUGCCCGGUGCCGGAAGGUUAAUUGAUGGGGUUAGCGCAAGCGAAGCUCUUGAUCGAAGCCCCGGUAAACGGCGGCCGUAACUAUAACGGUCCUAAGGUAGCGAAAUUCCUUGUCGGGUAAGUUCCGACCUGCACGAAUGGCGUAAUGAUGGCCACGCUGUCUCCACCCGAGACUCAGUGAAAUUGAAAUCGCUGUGAAGAUGCAGUGUACCCGCGGCUAGACGGAAAGACCCCGUGAACCUUUACUACAGCUUGGCACUGAACAUUGAACCUACAUGUGUAGGAUAGGUGGGAGGCUAUGAAGACGUGACGCCAGUUGCGUUGGAGCCGUCCUUGAAAUACCACCCUUGUAUGUUUGAUGUUCUAACUUAGACCCAUUAUCUGGGUUGAGGACAGUGCCUGGUGGGUAGUUUGACUGGGGCGGUCUCCUCCCAAAGAGUAACGGAGGAGCACGAAGGUGGGCUAAUCACGGUUGGACAUCGUGAGGUUAGUGCAAUGGCAUAAGCCCGCUUAACUGCGAGAAUGACGGUUCGAGCAGGUGCGAAAGCAGGUCAUAGUGAUCCGGUGGUUCUGUAUGGAAGGGCCAUCGCUCAACGGAUAAAAGGUACUCCGGGGAUAACAGGCUGAUACCGCCCAAGAGUUCAUAUCGACGGCGGUGUUUGGCACCUCGAUGUCGGCUCAUCACAUCCUGGGGCUGAAGUCGGUCCCAAGGGUAUGGCUGUUCGCCAUUUAAAGUGGUACGCGAGCUGGGUUUAGAACGUCGUGAGACAGUUCGGUCCCUAUCUGCCGUGGGCGUUGGAAGAUUGAAGGGGGCUGCUCCUAGUACGAGAGGACCGGAGUGGACGAACCUCUGGUGUUCGGGUUGUGUCGCCAGACGCAUUGCCCGGUAGCUAAGUUCGGAAUUGAUAAGCGCUGAAAGCAUCUAAGCGCGAAGCGAGCCCUGAGAUGAGUCUUCCCUGACAGUUUAACUGUCCUAAAGGGUUGUUCGAGACUAGAACGUUGAUAGGCAGGGUGUGUAAGCGUUGUGAGGCGUUGAGCUAACCUGUACUAAUUGCCCGUGAGGCUUAACCAU